Molecule: ribosomal RNA, 522 nt
Filed under: Geomyces vinaceus
Lineage: Eukaryota; Fungi; Ascomycota; Leotiomycetes; Thelebolales; Pseudeurotiaceae
Description: eukaryotic LSU rRNA
Rfam family: 5.8S ribosomal RNA (bases 163-316)
Source: RNAcentral
CAGGUUGCCGCAAGGCCUCCUGGGUAACCUACCACCCUUUGUUUAUUACACUUUGUUGCUUUGGCAAGCCUGCCCUCGGGCUGCUGGCUCCGGCCGGCGAGCGCUUGCCAGAGGACCUAAACUCUGUUUGUCUAUACUGUCUGAGUACUAUAUAAUAGUUAAAACUUUCAACAACGGAUCUCUUGGUUCUGGCAUCGAUGAAGAACGCAGCGAAAUGCGAUAAGUAAUGUGAAUUGCAGAAUUCAGUGAAUCAUCGAAUCUUUGAACGCACAUUGCGCCCCCUGGUAUUCCGGGGGGCAUGCCUGUCCGAGCGUCAUUACAACCCUCAAGCUCAGCUUGGUAUUGGGCCCCGCCGACCCGGCGGGCCCUAAAGUCAGUGGCGGUGCCGUCCGGCUCCGAGCGUAGUAAUUCUUCUCGCUCUGGAGGUCCGGUCGUGUGCUCGCCAGCAACCCCCAAUUUUUUUCAGGUUGACCUCGGAUCAGGUAGGGAUACCCGCUGAACUUAAGCAUAUCAAUAAGCGGA